RNAcentral lists this ribosomal RNA (409 nucleotides) under uncultured bacterium. RNAcentral describes it as "bacterial SSU rRNA". It matches the Rfam family "Bacterial small subunit ribosomal RNA", at positions 355 to 776 of the family's 1533-position model. The record is from RNAcentral.
UGGGGAAUAUUGCGCAAUGGGCGAAAGCCUGACGCAGCAACGCCGCGUGAGGGAUGAAGGCCUUCGGGUUGUAAACCUCUUUUAUCAGGGAAGAAGCGAAAGUGACGGUACCUGAAGAAAAAGCACCGGCUAACUACGUGCCAGCAGCCGCGGUAAUACGUAGGGUGCAAGCGUUAUCCGGAAUUAUUGGGCGUAAAGAGCUCGUAGGCGGUUUGUCGCGUCUGCUGUGAAAAUCUGAGGCUCAACCUCGGACUUGCAGUGGGUACGGGCAGACUAGAGUGCAGUAGGGGAGAAGGGAAUUCCUGGUGUAGCGGUGGAAUGCGCAGAUAUCAGGAGGAACACCAAUGGCGAAGGCACUUCUCUGGGCUGUAACUGACGCUGAGGAGCGAAAGCGUGGGGAGCGAACAGG